AACCGCCGUAUACGGAACCGUACGUACGGUGGUGUGGGAGGACGACGGGGUUGAUCCCACCUCCUACCCGAU
RNAcentral lists this non-coding RNA (72 nucleotides) under Candidatus Kentrum sp. TC. Lineage: Bacteria; Pseudomonadati; Pseudomonadota; Gammaproteobacteria. The record is from RNAcentral.